CCUGCCCCCAUUUUGGGUUUCCUGCCCCCAUUUUGGGUUUCCCGGCCCCAUUUUGUGUUUCCCGGCCCCAUUUUGGGUUUCCUGCCCCCAUUUUGGGUUUCCUGGCCCCUUUUUGGUUUUCCCAACCCCGUUUUGGGGUUCCCAACCCCAUUUUGGGUUUCCCGGCCCCGUUUUGGGUUUCCUGCCCCCAUUUUGGGUUUCCCGGCCCCAUUUUGGUUUUCCCAACCCCAUUUUGGGUUUCCUGGCCCCUUUUUGGUUUUCCCAACCCCGUUUUGGGGUUCCCAAACCCGUUUUGGGUUUCCUGCCCCCAUUUUGGGGUUCCCAGCCCCAUUUUGGGUUUCCCGGCCCCGUUUUGGCUUUCCCAACCCCAUUUUGGGUUUCCCGGCCCCAUUUUCGGUUUCCCAACCCCAUUUUGGGGUUCCCAGCCCCAUUUUGGGUUUCCCAACCCCGUUUUGGGUUUCCCCCCCCUGACCCCCGGCUCCCGCAGGGCCGGGCCUGGGCCCCACGAUCCAGCUGGGCGAGCAGACGCUGAUCACGGUGGACGCCAAGGCGGCCGGCAAGGGCAAGGUCACCUGCUCGGUGUGCACGCCCGACGGCUCCGAGGUGGACGUGGACGUGGUGGAGAACCCCGACGGCACCUUCGACAUCUUCUACACCGCGCCGCAGCCCGGCAAAUACGUCAUCUGCGUCAGGUUCGGGGGGGAGCACAUCCCCAACAGCCCCUUCCAGGUCAUGGCCACGGACCGGCCGCUGCUGGGGGUCAACGGGCUGGACAUGGCCGGGCUGCGGCCCUUCGACCUCGUCAUCCCCUUCACCAUCAAGAAGGGCGAGAUCACGGGUGAGGGGGGACACCCCCAAUUCGGGGGGUGGGGGGUCCCCGAAACAGCCCCGAAAUCGGCCCAAAAACACCUCAAAGUCAGCCCAAAAAAUCUCCGCAAACAGCCUCAAAAAUCAGUCCAAAAUCAGCCCAAGACCACCUCAAAAGCAGCCUGAAAAUACCCUCAAAACCGGCUCGGAAAUACCCUCAAAACCCGCUCGAAAAUACCCUCAAAACCAGCCCAAAAACAUCUCGAAACCAGCCUGAAAAUACCCUCAAAGCCAGCCCAAAAACAUCUCAAAACCAGCCUAAAACUAACUAAAAAGCAGCUCAAAAAAGCAGCCAGAAAAUCUCAAAAUCCAGCCCAAAACGAGUCCAAACGGGCCCAAAAAUCAGCCCAAAAUCACCUCAAAAUCAGCCCAAAACCACCUCAAAAUCGGUCCAAAACCACCUCAAAGUCAGCCCAAAAAAUCUCCGAAAACAGCGUCAAAAACCAGCCCAAAACCAGCUCAAAACCAGACUGAAAAAUACCCUCAAAACCAGCCCAAAAACAUCUCAAGACCAGACCAAAACUAACUAAAAAGCAGCUCAAAAAAGCAGUCAGAAAAUCUCAAAAUCC
This 1436-nucleotide long non-coding RNA is filed under the name Chloebia gouldiae (Gouldian finch). RNAcentral describes it as "Erythrura gouldiae (Gouldian finch) lncRNA (ENSEGOG00005011711.1)". The record is from RNAcentral. Lineage: Eukaryota; Metazoa; Chordata; Aves; Passeriformes; Passeridae.